GACGAACGCUGGCGGCGUGCUUAACACAUGCAAGUCGAACGGUAAGGCCCUUUCGGGGGUACACGAGUGGCGAACGGGUGAGUAACACGUGGGUGAUCUGCCCUGCGCUUUGGGAUAAGCCUGGGAAACUGGGUCUAAUACCGGAUAGGACUACGCGAUGCAUGUCGUGUGGUGGAAAGCUUUUGCGGUGUGGGAUGGGCCCGCGGCCUAUCAGCUUGUUGGUGGGGUGAUGGCCUACCAAGGCGACGACGGGUAGCCGGCCUGAGAGGGUGUCCGGCCACACUGGGACUGAGAUACGGCCCAGACUCCUACGGGAGGCAGCAGUGGGGAAUAUUGCACAAUGGGCGCAAGCCUGAUGCAGCGACGCCGCGUGGGGGAUGACGGCCUUCGGGUUGUAAACCCCCUUCAGCACAGACGAAGCGUAAGUGACGGUAUGUGCAGAAGAAGCACCGGCCAACUACGUG
This 464-nucleotide ribosomal RNA is filed under the name uncultured bacterium. RNAcentral describes it as "partial 16S ribosomal RNA". It matches the Rfam family "Bacterial small subunit ribosomal RNA", at positions 28 to 507 of the family's 1533-position model. The record is from RNAcentral.